RNAcentral lists this ribosomal RNA (874 nucleotides) under uncultured archaeon. Its description in RNAcentral is "bacterial SSU rRNA". It matches the Rfam family "Archaeal small subunit ribosomal RNA", at positions 464 to 1336 of the family's 1478-position model. The record is from RNAcentral.
GCCGCGGUACCACCAGCGCCCCCAAGUGGCAACCGCGAUUAUUGGGCCUAAAGCGUUCGUAGCCGGCUGAGUGAAUCUUUUGUGAAAUUGUCAAGCUUAACUUGAUAGCGCGCAGGAGAGACUGCUCAGCUAGGGACCGGGAGGAGUUAGAAGUAUUCCGGGGGGAGCGGUAAAAUGUUAUAAUCCUCGGAAGACUACCUGUGGCGAAAGCGUCUAACCAGAACGGAUCCGACGGUCAGGAACGAAAGCCAGGGGAGCAAAACGGAUUAGAUACCCGAGUAGUCCUGGCUGUAAACUCUGUGAGCAAGGUGUUGCAUAUUCUACAUGAAUGUGCAGUACCGAAACGAAGGUGUUAAGCUCACCGCCUGGGAAGUACGGUCGCAAGACUGAAACUUAAAGGAAUUGGCGGGGGAGCACUACAAGGGGUGCGGCGUGCGGUUUAAUCUAAUUCCACACAGAGAAUCUCACCAGGAGCGACGGCAGAAUGAAAGUCAUGCUGAAGACAUUACUUGACGAGCCGAGAGGUAGUGCAUGGCCGCCGUCAGCUCGUGCCGUAAGGUGUCCUGUUAAGUCAGGCAACGAGCAAGACCUGUAUCCACAAUUGCUAUCGGAUCCUCUAGGAUGACUGGGCACUUUGUGGGGACUGCCUCGGAAACGAGGAGGAAGGUGCAGGCAACGGUAGGUCUGUAUGCUCCGAAUCUCCUGGGCUACACGCGCGCAACAAUGGUAGGGACAAUGGGAUACGACUCCGAAAGGAGAAGUUAAUCCUCGAAACCCUAUCCAAGUCCGGAUUGAGGAUUGUAACUCAUCCUCAUGACGAUGGAAUCCCUAGUAAUGAGACGUCAUCAGCGUCCCGUGAAUAUGUCCCUGCUCC